RNAcentral lists this ribosomal RNA (253 nucleotides) under uncultured bacterium. RNAcentral's name for it is "partial 16S ribosomal RNA". It matches the Rfam family "Bacterial small subunit ribosomal RNA", at positions 524 to 776 of the family's 1533-position model. The record is from RNAcentral.
UACGAAGGGGGCUAGCGUUGCUCGGAAUUACUGGGCGUAAAGCGCACGUAGGCGGCUUUCUAAGUCGGGGGUGAAAUCCUGGAGCUCAACUCCAGAACUGCCUUCGAUACUGGAGAGCUCGAGUCCGGGAGAGGCGAGUGGAACUGCGAGUGUAGAGGUGAAAUUCGUAGAUAUUCGCAAGAACACCAGUGGCGAAGGCGGCUCACUGGCCCGGUACUGACGCUGAGGUGCGAAAGCGUGGGGAGCAAACAGG